AGUCGACGGCAGCGCGGGGUAACCUGUCGGCGAGUGGCGAACGGGUGAGUAAUACAUCAGAACGUGCCCUGUGAUGGGGGAUAACUACGCGAAAGCGUAGCUAAUACCGCAUACGACCUACGGGUGAAAGUGGGGGAUCGCAAGACCUCACGUCAUAUGAGCGGCCGAUGGCGGAUUAGCCAGUUGGUGAGGUAAAGGCUUACCAAGGCAACGAUCCGUAGCUGGUCUGAGAGGACGACCAGCCACACUGGGACUGAGACACGGCCCAGACUCCUACGGGAGGCAGCAGUGGGGAAUCUUGGACAAUGGGGGCAACCCUGAUCCAGCAAUGCCGCGUGUGGGAUGAAGGCCUUCGGGUUGUAAACCACUUUUGGCGGGGGCGAAAUAUCGAGUGCUAAUACCAUUCGGUGAUGACGGUACCCGCAGAAUAAGCACCGGCUAACUACGUGCCAGCAGCCGCGGUAAUACGUAGGGUGCAAGCGUUAAUCGGAAUUACUGGGCGUAAAGCGUGCGCCGCGGUUAGGUAAAACACAUGUGAAAUUCCCGGGCUCAACCUGGGAACUGCAUUUGUGACUGCCUGACUAGAGUGCGGCAGAGGGGAGUGGAAUUCCGCGUGUAUCAAUGAAUUGCGUAGAUAUGCGGAGGAACACCGAUGGCCAAAGGCAACUCCCUGGGCCUGCUCUGACACUCAUGCACGAAAGCGUGGGGAAGCAACAGGAUAAAAUACCCUGGUAUCCCCUCCCAAAACGAUG
RNAcentral lists this ribosomal RNA (752 nucleotides) under uncultured bacterium. RNAcentral's name for it is "bacterial SSU rRNA". It matches the Rfam family "Bacterial small subunit ribosomal RNA", at positions 60 to 811 of the family's 1533-position model. The record is from RNAcentral.